AGGCUGAUAAUGCUGAGGGCUCGAGCAAGGACAAAGGAAAGUCUAAGAUGAAAUGAUGAGAGUUAUUUAUGUAAUAAUUAUAUUUCUGCAUAUGAUGUGAUGUAGCGAUAAACGCUAAGUUUAAGUUUCAGUUUAUUAAAGGUUGUAAAGACUUGGGACUUUAUUUUGAAUAAGUAUGUAAUAGUUAAUAUUAUUAUUAUUAUUAUUAGAG
RNAcentral lists this long non-coding RNA (211 nucleotides) under Panax ginseng (ginseng). RNAcentral describes it as "long non-coding RNA (PGIN_LNC002740)". Lineage: Eukaryota; Viridiplantae; Streptophyta; Magnoliopsida; Apiales; Araliaceae. The record is from RNAcentral.